AGGCUCUCCUUGGCUCUCUCCCAUUCGCCGCCCUCCGCCCUCCGCCCUCCGCCCUCCUCUCCAGCUCUGUCGCGCCAUCUCGACUCCCCUGUGGUUCGCUCUGCUGUGCACCUCCGCUUCACCUUUCUCAGCAUUUCGGCGCGAGGUUUCGAAGAUGGGGUGCAAGUUCACCUUUCUCGUCUACGCGAUCCUCCAGCUCAUCGCGUUCCUUUCCGUGCUGAUCGGUACGCCGCUGGACAUGUUUCGUGGCGAUUUGAAUGAUUUUGGUGAAAGACCGUGCGUGACGUUGUGGGGCUUUAAGCGGAUGUGCUACAGCAUCGUAUAUGCCCUGGACACAGACGAGAAGUGGGCUACGUGCCACAAACGACGCAGUCGUUUCCGCAUGGCUGAGGCGUUGGCUGCCAUCUCCAUCAUGGUAUACUGCGCGGCCUUCGUCUUGGGCGUCAUUAUGCUGUUCUGCUGCUCUUUGCUCCGCUGGGUAUGCCUGACGCUCAACGUCGUUGGCCUCUUAACGUUGGGCAUCACGUGGGUGUUCAUGGUGCUCGCCUACGUUCAGGAAGAUGGCGUUCUUUGCCCUGCUCUCCGAACGGACUACAAGUUUGGCUACGGCUUCUUUCUCCUGUUGGUGGCCUGGGUCCUGGAUCUCGUCGACAUCGUCUUCUUGCUGAUCCCUGUCCACAGAAAGAACUCUGUUGAGGGUGGAACCUCUAAGAUAUACACAGAGCCGGAAUAGGCGGAAGGGAGCCGCAGGAGGCGGAGGGGCGGUGUUGCUAGCCGCGCGGCAGCUUCGCGACGACGCGCUCGUGGAGGAGCCGGCGGAGCUGAUGUCAGCGUGCCAGAGGGAGGGAGCGAGGGCUGCGGAUACUCGCCCCUGCCCUUCGCCGGCAGCUCUCCGUCUGCUGCUCGCUGCCCUCUCGUGCGUGCGCGUGAGGUGCGCCGCACGCGCUGCCGAGGGGGUGCAGACGUGCAGGCACGCCCUGGCAUGCACAUGCCGAGGAGCCGCUCUCGCUUUCUGCGCUUCCGCGUCUCUUUCUCCGUUUCCCGUCGUGCUGCAUUGCUGUCGAGUGCCAGUGCGGCGUAUGCGGGCACUUGCUGACGUGUUCAUGGUUUCUCCCUCGCCUGUCUUCGUCUUCUCGUGCGUGUGCCGCUUGUUGAGCUUUCCGCCUCUCGCCUCGCUGUUGCCUUUUCUGCUGACCUGCGCAGCGGUCUGCGCGUUGUGGUGGGCAGCGCACCCUUGACGGCGACCCGCCCACCGAUGACCCCUCCCUCCCCCUCUGAGCGGUCGCCCUCGCUGCCUUGUUGAGGCAGGCCCCCCCCCUCUCCCCCGCACGCUCGGCGGGCGCAGCCUUGGCGAGACGAGAGGGCGAGCGGGGAAGCGAGGGGGUGGCACGGGCGUCGCCGGCCGGAGCAUUGAGGUGUGCAAGCGAGGGUGCACGGCUGCGAGGGCGAGGGAAGGCCGACGACGAGAACGGGCGAGGAAGAGACGGACGCGCUGGAAAGAGGGACGGUGAGCGCAAGGCCGCCCCGCACUGGUGGCCAGCCUCCGCCCCCUCCCUCCGUACAUCGGUGUCGCGGCCGCGCGUGUUUCCUGUACUUCUCUGGGGCGCCCCCUCUCGCCGCGUCUCUGUCUCCUCGCCCUCACGCACGCCGCAUGGACUCCUCAAACGGAGAGGGGGGAGGGGGCGGGGUGCCACGUGUGUGGUGGUGGCGGGCGCAGGAACCAAACGGGCUAAUGGGCGGACGGCGCGGGGAGGAGAGAGGACGGCGUCCGCGGACCCAGAAGCGACACACAGGUGCGUACGCAGCGCUAAAGAGGGGCGAUUGCAGCUCUUGCUCCUCUUGGUUCCUUGCGCCCCAUGCACGGCCUACGUGUGCGCGCACACACCGACGCGCGCGCAGGUGCGCAGGAGGGGCGGCACCCCCUGCUGCCGUGUAAGGGGCUGCGGUGUCGGGCGGGGCAGUGGGGAGAGAGAGGGCGAGGCUGGCGAGGUGGCGGGUGGGCGGCUCUCCAUGGUGCACGAAGGGCGACCUCACGUCGGACGUGGGCGUGCGUGGUGAGGCGUGUGCCCUUUGCGUUGCUCUCGAGCCCUCGUCGCGUUUGUGCCCUCCGCUGUUUUCCGUGUCUCUUUCUGCUUCCGCAUGGACGCGCGCCUCCCCUCGACCCCCGCUGUCGCACACGGCAUGCGCGUGUGUGCCGGUGCAUGCGCCCUUGUGACCGUCCUCCCCCUUCCUCAGCGGAUGCCCCCUCCCCGCCGCCCCUCUCUUGCUGCGGCGACUGCCCCGCGCUCCUCGCACUCCCAGGGAGGAAGAAGCGCCGCUGCGACAGGAGAGCCGCCGAGCACACCCUCUGUCUCGCCCCCCCCUUAUGUUGCCGCUGCUUCCUCCUCUCGUCUCGUGCUCUUGUGCGCACCCGCCGCUACGCGUCUUCACUUGCUUUGCUGCUCUUUUCCGCGUGCCGGUACCCGCGCUCCCCUUUCUCUCGGUCCUCCGCAGGCCACGGACGCGUGGGGCCCGCCUGCGUGUGCGUGUGCGUGUGCGUCUCUCCCGUCGCUUUAUGCGCGCCGCUGUCCUUCUCUUGUGCCUCUCUCCCCGUGCGCAGGCGAGAGGGGCUGGCUGAGACGGCGAAGAGAACGGCCACGGCAGCACAGCGGAGCAGGGGGACGGGGGAGGGGGUGAGUGCGCAACGGCGACGGCGCCCCCAAAGGAUAGAGGGGAGCUAAAGGAAGGGCGCGAAUAAAUGCCGAGCGGGGUGUGCGAAAACGACGAGAGAGAGAGGCUGUGCUAACCCUUCAACAGGAGUGCGUGCCUGCGUGUGUGUGCUUGUCUCUGUGCGCGUUGUGUCUUUAUUAUGUCUUCGCCUUUCUUGUGUCGCUUCUUUUGCUUUUCUUUGUUUCGAUGCCUAAUCACACCACCGAGUCCUCCAG
RNAcentral lists this unclassified non-coding RNA (2924 nucleotides) under Leishmania donovani. RNAcentral describes it as "gene:LdHU3.34.4550(CDS-product:Amastin_surface_gl ycoprotein_putative)". The record is from RNAcentral. Lineage: Eukaryota; Euglenozoa; Kinetoplastea; Trypanosomatida; Trypanosomatidae.